Long non-coding RNA from Pipra filicauda (Wire-tailed manakin), 2182 nucleotides. RefSeq lists it as uncharacterized. NCBI's taxonomy places the organism in Eukaryota, Metazoa, Chordata, Aves, Passeriformes, Pipridae. The record is from RefSeq and is a predicted model, not a curated record. The transcript has 4 exons.
GUUUGCAGCACCUGACACUAGAAGACCUUCAGCUCAUUUCAAAGGUUCUGGUACCUGGUACCCAGUGCCACACAACAUCAUGCCACAGCAGAACUACAAACCUUAAAGAAGUUUACAUACAUAAUCAGAAUCUACUUAAACUCUCCCGAAAUCCCUGUUUAUUAUGACUAAACCUAAAUACUGGCUGGAGCUGUCAGGAGACUUAAAAACCAGUGUGCUCAUGUCCCAUAUUGCCAUCACUGGGAAAGUGUUUUCUUGGGAAGAAAAGCAGCACUGGGAUGAAGAAACUACAAUAUGCAAGUUCUGGGGACAACCUGAAGUCUAUUCCAAAAUGUAAAACAACAGAGGAACAGUCAAAACCAAAGUGAUACUGAGUCCUACAAAGCAGGUAAGGAAGAAGCAGCUAAGAAAGAACACAUAUAUUUGAUGAUGAGAAACCACGCCCUCUUAAGGACUCAGCUGUGGCCUCCUGAAAAGAUGCUUCUGAACAGGAAGAAUGAAUGGUGAGAAGAGAGGUAGGCCUAUGGUUAAUCCAGCUGUAGUAAACUUUCAACAGUGAGAUUGUAAUUUGUGAAUAAAGACAACCACAGCAGUAAUAACCACAUGCUGGUUCAUGUAACAGGGAAGCUAAUAGAGGGGUUUGGCUAGAGGUAUUUUGGUCUUAAUUACUGAGCCAGUCACUAAUUAAGUCAUAGUUUAACAGCUCCCACCUCCAAAACUCACCUUCCCCAAUGCUCUGUUUUCAUCCCAUCAUCUUAACUUGGAUUUAAUUUAAACUUUAUUUUUGUUCUCCUUGCCUCAAAACAGUUUCCACAGUCCUUAUUCUUAAAAAAAGAAGCCUGUGCUGAACUCCAGUUUGAACAUGGUACCUCCCAGCAGUAAGUUUAUACAUUUUGCCUAGAGUGUUCAUGGUCAUUGUUUCUUUCUUCCAAAGGUCCAAGAUAUAGUGUAGAAAGAUUGUUGAAUUUAUUUCAUCAGUUGGUUAAUUCUUAUGUGUCUUUAAGUGAUUCUACUACUGCUGAACAGUGCUUCAUAUCAAGGAGGUCUUUGGGGUCCAGAAACAGGAUGCCUACCAUGGUCUUGAAAAUCAAGUUGAAUUUAACCAGCCCCCUGUGACAGAGCAAAAGAUUACUGAAGAUACAAAAAAAGAUACAGUGAAUAAGGUGAAAGACAGCUUUCAGGAAAGACAAGAAGAAAAGCCAAAUCCUGGAUUAACAGGUAAUAAACUCUUUACAUGGGGUAGAGGAGAGAUUGGCCGCAGGAGUGAUACUGUUCUUAGUUUCUUGGCUGCAAAUAACGCAGUACGUGUUCUGCAUGCAUAAACCACAGGUAUGACAGAUUUCACCCUCUCCCCUUCUAUCAGAGAACAACCAUUAGUCUCUUGCUAUUGGUAAAUCUGAUGAGACCCUUACUACAGCUGUCAGACAUAUCCUGAGAUCCUAUUGCUAUUCGCUUCCCUCCAACAAAUUUUUUACUCUUAGUUCUCUAUUUUUGCAAUAAAAGUUAUGUGUUUGAGAAUUACAUUUUAAAAUAUUUGUUUACCUUUCAACCAUAUUUUAGAAUGAAGCUAGAAAAAAUAAAUAACUUCAGUGAAGUGAUGACCUCUCUUUCUCAUCAACUGCAGCUUUCCAUUGUUUUGGGAACCUCUCCCAAGAAAGGCUACCCACACUGAGUCAAGGCACAUCUAAAAAAUGCCACGUUUAGUGACACUACAAUAAAUCUUUAAAAAAUAAUGUAAAAAUAUUGUGUUGGGAAAGAUAUUAAAAUGGAAUUUCAUAAUACCGGGGUAUCAUGUGACAGCAAUUUCCCCGAAGUCACACUCUAGAUCGUUGUAAGAACAAGUAGCAUACCGAGGGAACUGAGUGAACCCACUGCAAAUCAGGAGAAGUAGCAGAUGAAGAUAGGAAAAUGAAGAGAAGGAGCCAGGCCUGAGCAGCUAAGGAAAAACAAGCCAAUUGUUUGCAGCCCAUAGGCUGCACCAAAAACAUGUUACUUCCAAAAAAGAAUUCUACCCCCUCUCUCCUAUAACACAGAUUUGUGUUUCCACAAUUUACUAAAUACUAACACAGCCUUUUCAGAAGACAUUGUCUCAGCUGCUUUCAUUUGACCAUUAACUUUUUUGUGUUCCACCUGUUCAUUUCUUUCCACCAUGGGAGCAAAGGAAAGAGCACAGGAAUGACAU